CCUACGGGCGGCAGCAGUGGGGAAUCUUUCACAAUGGGGGAAACCCUGAUGCAGCGACGCCGCGUGAGUGAAGAAGUAUUUCGGUAUGUAAAGCUCUAUCAGCAGGGAAGAAAAUGACGGUACCUGAUUAAGAAGCCCCGGCUAACUCCGUGCCAGCAGCCGCGGUAAUACGUAGGGGGCAAGCGUUAUCCGGAUUUACUGGGGGGAAAGGUAGCGUAGACGGCAGCACAAGUCUGGGGGGAAAUGCCCGGGCUUAACCCCGGAACUUGAUUGGCAACUGUGCAGCUAGAGUGCAGGGGGGGGAAGUGGAAUUCCUAGUGUAGCGGUGAAAUGCGUAGAUAUUAGGAGGAACACCAGUGGCGAAGGCGGCUUACUGGACUGUAACUGACGUUGAGGCUCGAAAGCGUGGGGAGCAAACAGGAUUAGAUACCCGUGUAGUC
This 440-nucleotide ribosomal RNA is filed under the name uncultured bacterium. Its description in RNAcentral is "partial 16S ribosomal RNA". It matches the Rfam family "Bacterial small subunit ribosomal RNA", at positions 338 to 795 of the family's 1533-position model. The record is from RNAcentral.